GUGUCAGCAGCCGCGGUAAUACGUAGGUGACAAGCGUUAUCCGGAAUUACUGGGCGUAAAGCGCACGCAAGCGGUUGUACAAGUCCGACGUGAAAUCUCCUGGCUUAACCAGGAGCGGUCGUGGGAAACUGUAGAACUUGAGGCAAGCAGAGGGGUGCAGAAUUCCCGGUGUAGUGGUGGAAUGCGUAGAGAUCGGGAGGAAUACCAGUGGCGAAAGCGGUGCCCUGGGCUUGUCCUGACGCACAGGUGCGAAAGCGUGGGGAGCGAACGGGAUUAGAAACCCUCGUAGUCC
RNAcentral lists this ribosomal RNA (292 nucleotides) under uncultured bacterium. RNAcentral describes it as "partial 16S ribosomal RNA". It matches the Rfam family "Bacterial small subunit ribosomal RNA", at positions 505 to 796 of the family's 1533-position model. The record is from RNAcentral.